GGAUGUGAGGGCGAUCUGGCUGCGACAUCUGUCACCCCAUUGAUCGCCAGGGUUGAUUCGGCUGAUCUGGCUGGCUAGGCGGGUGUCCCCUUCCUCCCUCACCGCUCCAUGUGCGUCCCUCCCGAAGCUGCGCGCUCGGUGGAAGAGGACGAUGUCCCAGGUAUAGAAGGAGUGUACCGAGGUCUCCAGUUUUCGGUCCCGGGUAUACGACAGCUGCACUCCCCUGCUAGAACCUCCAAACAAACCCAGUCCUUAAUCCAUGUUAGCGCGGCGGCCUCAUAAUAAAGUUGUAAAUCCAGCAGGCUCAAGCCCCCUCGUCUUUUAUCAUCUUUUAGGUUUUGGUGUUUUA
Anolis carolinensis (green anole) is the source of this 349-nucleotide non-coding RNA. It matches the Rfam family "7SK RNA". Rfam says of the family: 7SK was discovered as an abundant small nuclear RNA in the mid-70s but a possible function has only recently been suggested. The record is from Rfam. NCBI's taxonomy places the organism in Eukaryota, Metazoa, Chordata, Lepidosauria, Squamata, Anolidae.